GUGUUGGGAUACUGCCAGGGAGAUAAAGUCCAUCAUGGCCCCAAGCCGUCUGCCGGACGAUCCAUCGACCUCCCGUAGGCACGCAGUAUCAUCAAUUAGCGACAUGAGUUUCUAGAAGAUUUCUUGCCACAUUCCAGAGCUCAUGCACACUCUAUCAGCAGAUAAUGCACAGCCAAAAGUUGCAAUCAGGAGAGCAUUAUUUACAAGUUUAUUCAGCGUUGAUCAGAACACAGAAAAACGUGACUGCCUGCUUUAGUGUCUGCGACACAAGAGAGAAAACGAAAGCAACAGAAAACAUAAACAUCCUGUGAACAGGAAAUACGCAGACUCUGACUCACAAAGCCUGCUCCCUUUUAAGGUGGAACGGAAAUAUCCUAACAUCCUCCCCCUUUCCGUGUAACCUGUAGUACCUGUGGUUCAACCCAAUUGCAACCUUUGUACAUAAACCUUAAGUUGUUCUCUGUUAACAACCUUAGACAACAGAUCAGCAGGAAUUUCAUUUCCUGGCAUGUAGGACACCUGAAUGAGUCCUUUCUGAAUACACUCUCUUGCACGAUGUAGCUUAAUCUGCAAGUACUUGGUCCUUUGCUUGCAACUCUCUGAGUUCAGCAAAGCCAAACACGAUCUAUUGUCUUGAUACACUUGUACAGGACAUUUCACAGAAACUCUGAUGUCCUUAAACAGUUGCAUCAACCAUUCACAAUCCAUGAGUGAAAAUGACAGAGCAUUGAGUUCUGCUUCACAGGAACUUAGGCUCACUGUCGUCUGCUUUUUGCACAACCAGUCAAACAGGCAGUGGUUGUACAUGUAGCAUACUCCAGAAGUGCUUGUACCAUCCGUGGUGUCACUUCCAAAACUUGCAUCUGCAAAGAUUUCAAGACCUCCAGUCUUCUGACUGGUGAACCUCAGCCUGUAGUGCAAAGUCCCUUUCAAAUAGCGGGCUAUGCGCUUCAGAGCUUUCCAAUCCUGAACAGUAGGAUUGUUAGCAUGUCUGCUAAGCAGGUUAGUGCUUACAGCUAUGUCAGGUCUUGAGCAUCUAGCAAUGAAAUUCAACUUGCCUAGAAUGCAUCUGUACAGCGUUGUGUCAGAAAACGCUUCAGCAGUACUGUCUACCUGGUAACCUGUCACCAUCGGUGUGUCUGCUGGGUUUGCAUCAACCAAAUUCAACCUGGUUAAUACAUCAGCAAUUUUCUGUGUUUGGUGUACCAGAAAAUUACCUGCUUGGUCCCUCUCCACCUGCAGAGAAAGAUAGUUGGAUACCUCACCAAGAUCCUUCAUGUCAAAGUGCUCCUUCAGCUGAGCUAGGGUGCUUUGGUAGAAAGCCUGAUUCUUCCAAAACAUCAGAAGAUCAUCAACAAAACAUAAACAAUACAGUUUGUUUUGCCCCUCCUCCUUGACAAACACACAUGGAUCAGCUUUGCCCUGGUGAAAACCUAGAGAAAGCAACGUCUCAGUGAGUUUCGUGUUCCAACACCUGGCACUCUGCUUGAGACCAUAUAAGGAUUUCCGCAGUUUACAGACCAUUCCCUUCUGUAUCUGCAUCCCGUCAGGUGGAAGCAUAAACAGCUCCUCGUCCAAAAUCCCGUACAAAAAGCUGUAUUAAUGUCAUGAUGGGAAACAUGCAGUUUCUCCUCUGCAGCUAUCUUGAGCAUCAGCCGAAUGCUCUCAUAUUUGACGGUGGGUGAGUAGGUCUCGUGGUAAUCCUGUCCUGGUACCUGUGAAAAACCUCUGGCAACCAAUCUGGCUUUGUGUCUGACAACCUUGCCAUUCUGGUCUGUCUUGGCCUUGAAGACCCAUUUGCUGCCAACCAGUCUCAUUCCUGGGACUACCGGUACCAGUUCCCAAGUUUGGUUCCUAUUCAAGGAAUCAACUUCAGCCUUCAUGGCAUUAAGCCAAGGCUCAGCAUCUUUAGAGG
This is a non-coding RNA of Podarcis lilfordi (Lilford's wall lizard), 1915 nucleotides long. NCBI's taxonomy places the organism in Eukaryota, Metazoa, Chordata, Lepidosauria, Squamata, Lacertidae. The record is from the annotation of a GenBank genome assembly.